GACAAGUAGCUCAGUUGGUAGAGCAACGGACUCUUAAUCCGUGGGUCCAGGGUUCGAUCCCC
This 62-nucleotide transfer RNA is filed under the name Weissella thailandensis. It matches the Rfam family "tRNA", at positions 2 to 61 of the family's 71-position model. From Rfam's summary of the family: Transfer RNA (tRNA) molecules are approximately 80 nucleotides in length. Their secondary structure includes four short double-helical elements and three loops (D, anti-codon, and T loops). Further hydrogen bonds mediate the characteristic L-shaped molecular structure. tRNAs have two regions of fundamental functional importance: the anti-codon, which is responsible for specific mRNA codon recognition, and the 3' end, to which the tRNAs corresponding amino acid is attached (by aminoacyl-tRNA synthetases). tRNAs cope with the degeneracy of the genetic code in two manners: having more than one tRNA (with a specific anti-codon) for a particular amino acid; and 'wobble' base-pairing, i.e. permitting non-standard base-pairing at the 3rd anti-codon position. Lineage: Bacteria; Bacillati; Bacillota; Bacilli; Lactobacillales; Lactobacillaceae. The record is from RNAcentral.